CACACUAUGGCUACAAUCUAAUUCAGAAUUUGGUGUGCUUUAAUCAAGUUGAUUUCAGUCCAUAUCUACUUAUGGAGCAGGCCAUGUAGAGUGAUGUAGUUCAGCAUUCAGAGAGAGCUUUGAGAUAGGUAACCAUUUAGGAGAUAAAUUUAUUGCACAGAAACAAAUACAGUAAUCACAAUGUUAAGACUGCUUCCAGGUGACAAUCCUCCCAUGUGCUCAUCUGGGCCAGUAAGACGAGUGGAGCUAUAAAGUGUCCUGGAGCAGGCAGGCAUUGCUCAUUCCAUACUUCUCCUGUACCAGCUUCCAUGUGCCAUGCAGAUCAGGACUCACUAGACUACAGAAGCAGGAAGCAUCAGAAUGCCUCUGGGGUCUCUAGUUAGAGCUGUCGGCAACUGUGCUAAGAGAGAGGUAGUAAUGAAGGCAGCGAUCUUCUGAGGGAAUACCAAAUAGGAAAACAAUGGACUACAAGUUGAGAUGACAGACACACAGGCAAGCUCUCAUUAGCAGAAGGACUGGGUGAAAAAGCAGAAAGGAAGAAGCCACUGAGAAGGUUGAGACAGCUACUGUAAGUGUGGAAUGUAACAAGCUGAAGAAGACACCUCACCAUAAAUCUGUGUGGCGCUACCUUGUGUGCUGAAGAGAGGAAGAGAAGGAGAAGCACAGGAAGUCUUCUCUGAGUCUGAGACUGCUUCAGGUGACAAACACUGACCUUCAACUUACAAACACCUUCAGUUGAAGCAAUUGACAUGCUUUAAUCGGAAUGCAUCCAUGGGUUUAUAAGCGACAAAGCAGAAUGACAAUGACUGAAUACAAACAGUGCUCUUUAUGCCAAGGUAGUUCACUGAAUUUCAUUUUAGGUCUUUUCCUUAUCAUCAGGGUUUCCUGUUGUAUCUUUCUGCAUUUUGUUUCCAGACUGAUUGAUGCUCUCCUUUGCUUCUCUUUCAGCUGCCAUGAGCACCACCAUAAAUACAAAUGCAAAUGUUGAUUAGGAAGUCCAACUGCAAUAGAAGGAAAUAGAUACUUCCAUCACUGCUGUGAGUGGCCACAAAAUAAAAUUUGCCCCUUCCUGCA
This 1074-nucleotide long non-coding RNA is filed under the name Pogona vitticeps (central bearded dragon). Its description in RNAcentral is "lncRNA (ENSPVIG00000019672.1)". The record is from RNAcentral. Lineage: Eukaryota; Metazoa; Chordata; Lepidosauria; Squamata; Agamidae.